This 214-nucleotide long non-coding RNA is filed under the name Carica papaya (papaya). Its description in RNAcentral is "long non-coding RNA (CPAP_LNC011107)". The record is from RNAcentral. Lineage: Eukaryota; Viridiplantae; Streptophyta; Magnoliopsida; Brassicales; Caricaceae.
UCGCAUCCUAGAAAACUCUAAUCCUAUCCGCACCUAUCCUUGCCAGAAAAGAAGAAGAAAGGCGGCCGGAAAGAAAUUCGACCAUCGUCGCUGCCACACCGGAGCCACUGCUGACAUUGGAGAGGUAAGUGUUUCUUCCCUUUUCGUUCGGAAUUCAAUUUUGAACCUCUCUACACUCAUAUUAGAGCUUAAAAGCUAAAAGAGAAGUUAGAAA